RNAcentral lists this non-coding RNA (30 nucleotides) under Mus musculus (house mouse). Lineage: Eukaryota; Metazoa; Chordata; Mammalia; Rodentia; Muridae. The record is from RNAcentral.
UGAGUGUGUGAUAUCCACUGAAUGGUUUGU